GACGAACGCUGGCGGCGUGCCUAAUACAUGCAAGUCGAGCGGACAGAUGGGAGCUUGCUCCCUGAUGUUAGCGGCGGACGGGUGAGUAACACGUGGGUAACCUGCCUGUAAGACUGGGAUAACUCCGGGAAACCGGGGCUAAUACCGGAUGGUUGUUUGAACCGCAUGGUUCAAACAUAAAAGGUGGCUUCGGCUACCACUUACAGAUGGACCCGCGGCGCAUUAGCUAGUUGGUGAGGUAACGGCUCACCAAGGCAACGAUGCGUAGCCGACCUGAGAGGGUGAUCGGCCACACUGGGACUGAGACACGGCCCAGACUCCUACGGGAGGCAGCAGUAGGGAAUCUUCCGCAAUGGACGAAAGUCUGACGGAGCAACGCCGCGUGAGUGAUGAAGGUUUUCGGAUCGUAAAGCUCUGUUGUUAGGGAAGAACAAGUACCGUUCGAAUAG
RNAcentral lists this ribosomal RNA (449 nucleotides) under Bacillus subtilis. RNAcentral describes it as "bacterial SSU rRNA". It matches the Rfam family "Bacterial small subunit ribosomal RNA", at positions 28 to 467 of the family's 1533-position model. The record is from RNAcentral. Lineage: Bacteria; Bacillati; Bacillota; Bacilli; Caryophanales; Bacillaceae.